GGGGGUGCACCGGUUUCGACGAAUGCGGGAAAGCUCGUAUUGCUGGUAAGGUCGCGUUUCCUUAUAAAAGCGCAAAAAACUAUAACUGCCAAACGUGAAGAGGACUACGAGUCCGAAAACGAACAGUUAGCUCUUGCAGCGUAAGCUGCAGCUUAAAAGAGCCGGGAGCCUGACCACGCCGCUCUGAGCGGUCAGGAGCUUCUGUUACAAACCAGAGCUUGCCGCGUGCAGUGUCCGAUAUGCACACGGGACAUGUUAUCGGAAUACGGAGCGAAUACUUGCUGUGCUGUUAAACGCUCUCGACAAUUACCUCGCACAGCUACACCUGUAGAUAUACCUGUUUUACGCACUCGGACGGGGGUUCGAUUCCCCCCAUCUCCAACG
This 384-nucleotide transfer-messenger RNA is filed under the name Treponema sp. It matches the Rfam family "transfer-messenger RNA". From Rfam's summary of the family: Bacterial tmRNA, also known as 10Sa RNA or SsrA, is named for its dual tRNA and mRNA-like properties. Its role is to liberate the mRNA from a stalled ribosome. Lineage: Bacteria; Pseudomonadati; Spirochaetota; Spirochaetia; Treponematales; Treponemataceae. The record is from RNAcentral. RNAcentral also lists the same sequence under 1 other name.